GUUCUUUUGAUGUUAAUUUAAGAUUUAAUCUGCUCAAUGAAGGGUUAAAUAGCCGCAGUAUUUUGACUGUGCGAAGGUAGCAUAAUAAUUAGUCUCUUAAUUAGGGACUUGUAUGAAUGAUUGGACAAGAAAAUUUCUGUCUCUUUUUAAUUUUUUUUGAAUUUAAUUUUUGAGUUAAAAUGCUUAAAUAUUUAUAAAAGACGAGAAGACCCCAUAGAGUUUUAUUUUUAUAAAAUUUUAGUAUUAUUAUUUAAAAAAAAUUAGUUGGGGUGACUGAAAGAUUAGAUAAACUCUUUUAAUUUAGAUCAUUGAUUUAUGAAUAUGAAAUCUAAUUUUUUAAAUUUAAAUUAAAUUACCUUGGGGAUAACAGCGUAAUUUCUUUUUAGAGUUCUUAUCAAAUGAGAAGAUUGCGACCUCGAUGUUGGAUUAAAAUUUAUUUUAGGUGUAGAAGCUUAAACAUUAAGUCGCCUGUUUAUCA
This 478-nucleotide ribosomal RNA is filed under the name Pyrocoelia amplissima. RNAcentral describes it as "partial 16S ribosomal RNA". The record is from RNAcentral. Lineage: Eukaryota; Metazoa; Arthropoda; Insecta; Coleoptera; Lampyridae.